GAUGAACGCUGGCGGUAUGCUUAACACAUGCAAGUCGAACGGACUCUCCGGAGUUAUUGGCGGACGGGUGAGUAACGCGUGAGAAUCUGGCCUUGGGUUCGGGACAACCACUGGAAACGGUGGCUAAUACCGGAUGUGCCGAUAGGUAAAAGAGAAAUCGCCUGAAGAUGAGCUCGCGUCUGAUUAGCUAGUUGGUGAGGUAAAGGCUCACCAAGGCAGCGAGCAGUAGCUGGUCUGAGAGGAUGACCAGCCACAGUGGGACUGAGACGCGGCAGAGACUCCUCCGGGAGGCAGGAGUGGAGAAUUUUCCACAAUGGGCGAGAGGCUGACGGAGCAAUACCGCGUGAGAGAAGAAGGCUCUUGGGUUGUAAACCUCUUUUCUUAGAGCACGACAGAAUGACGGUACCUGAGGAAGAAGCACCGGCUAACUCCGUG
RNAcentral lists this ribosomal RNA (435 nucleotides) under uncultured bacterium. RNAcentral's name for it is "partial 16S ribosomal RNA". It matches the Rfam family "Bacterial small subunit ribosomal RNA", at positions 28 to 507 of the family's 1533-position model. The record is from RNAcentral.